This 407-nucleotide ribosomal RNA is filed under the name uncultured bacterium. RNAcentral describes it as "bacterial SSU rRNA". It matches the Rfam family "Bacterial small subunit ribosomal RNA", at positions 355 to 776 of the family's 1533-position model. The record is from RNAcentral.
UGGGGAAUAUUGGACAAUGGGGGAAACCCUGAUCCAGCGACGCCGCGUGAGUGAAGAAGUAUCUCGGUAUGUAAAGCUCUAUCAGCAGGGAAGAAAGAAAUGACGGUACCUGACUAAGAAGCCCCGGCUAACUACGUGCCAGCAGCCGCGGUAAUACGUAGGGGGCAAGCGUUAUCCGGAUUUACUGGGUGUAAAGGGAGCGUAGACGGCAAGGCAAGUCUGAUGUGAAAGAUCGGGGCCCAACCCCGGGACUGCAUUGGAAACUGUCUGGCUGGAGUACAGGAGAGGUAAGUGGAAUUCCUAGUGUAGCGGUGAAAUGCGUAGAUAUUAGGAGGAACACCAGUGGCGAAGGCGGCUUACUGGACUGUAACUGACGUUGAGGCUCGAAAGCGUGGGGAGCAAACAGG